CACGGGGGUUGCAAGCGUUGUCCGGAAUUACUAGGCGUAAAGGGCAGGUAGGCGGAUCUAUAAGUUUGAUGUUAAAGGCAGCGGCUCACCCGCUGUACGGCGUCGGAUACUGUAGAUCUGGAAUGCGGUUGGGGAAGACAGAAUUCCUGGUGUAGCGGUGGAAUGCGCAGAGAUCAGGAGGAAUACCAAAGGCGAAGGCAGUCUUCUAAGCCGUUAUUGACGCUAAACUGCGAAGGUGUGGGUAUCAAACAGG
RNAcentral lists this ribosomal RNA (253 nucleotides) under uncultured bacterium. RNAcentral's name for it is "partial 16S ribosomal RNA". It matches the Rfam family "Bacterial small subunit ribosomal RNA", at positions 524 to 776 of the family's 1533-position model. The record is from RNAcentral.